GAGUUUGAUCCUGGCUCAGAAUGAACGCUGGCGGCGUGCUUAACACAUGCAAGUCGAACGAGAAAGCCUGGGGUAACUUGGGCGAGUAAAGUGGCGCACGGGUGAGUAACGCGUAGGUAACCUACCCCCGGGACUGGGAUAACAGAGCGAAAGUUCUGCUAAUACCGGAUACGACCUUGAGGCGGGAGCUUUGAGGUGAAAGUCGGCCUCUCGAAGAAGCUGAUGUUCGGGGAUGGACCUGCGUCCUAUCAGCUAGUUGGUAGGGUAACGGCCUACCAAGGCGACGGCGGGUAGCUGGUCUGAGAGGAUGAUUAGCCACACUGGCACUGGAACACGGGCCAGACUCCUACGGGAGGCAGCAGUGAGGAAUUUUGCGCAAUGGGAGCAAUCCUGACGCAGCAACGCCGCGUGGGUGAAGAAGGCCUUCGGGUCGUAAAGCCCUGUCAGGUGGGAAGAAACGCUUGAAUUCGAAUAGGGUUUGAGCUUGACGGUACCACCAGAGGAAGCACCGGCUGACUCCGUGCCAGCAGCCGCGGUAAUACGGAGGGUGCGAGCGUUAUUCGGAAUUACUGGGCGUAAAGCGCGUGCAGGCG
This 593-nucleotide ribosomal RNA is filed under the name uncultured Syntrophobacteraceae bacterium. Its description in RNAcentral is "bacterial SSU rRNA". It matches the Rfam family "Bacterial small subunit ribosomal RNA", at positions 9 to 577 of the family's 1533-position model. Lineage: Bacteria; Pseudomonadati; Thermodesulfobacteriota; Syntrophobacteria; Syntrophobacterales; Syntrophobacteraceae. The record is from RNAcentral.